GAGGACCGAGUGCCGCUCACGCC
Molecule: non-coding RNA, 23 nt
Filed under: Arabidopsis thaliana (thale cress)
Lineage: Eukaryota; Viridiplantae; Streptophyta; Magnoliopsida; Brassicales; Brassicaceae
Source: RNAcentral